RNAcentral lists this ribosomal RNA (458 nucleotides) under uncultured bacterium. RNAcentral's name for it is "partial 16S ribosomal RNA". It matches the Rfam family "Bacterial small subunit ribosomal RNA", at positions 338 to 795 of the family's 1533-position model. The record is from RNAcentral.
CCUACGGGAGGCAGCAGUGGGGAAUAUUGCACAAUGGGGGAAACCCUGAUGCAGCGACGCCGCGUGAGUGAAGAAGUAAUUCGUUACGUAAAGCUCUAUCAGCAGGGAAGAAACACUGACCUUACGGUCAGCAGACGGUACCUGAGUAAGAAGCGCCGGCUAACUACGUGCCAGCAGCCGCGGUAAUACGUAGGGGGCAAGCGUUAUCCGGAUUUACUGGGGGUAAAGGGGGCGUAGACGGCGAGGCAAGUCUGGAGUGAAAGGCCGGGGCGCAAACCCGGGACUGCUUUGGAAACUGCCUGGCUAGAGUGCUGGAGAGGCAAGCGGAAUUCCUAGUGUAGCGGUGAAAUGCGUAGAUAUUAGGAAGAACACCAGUGGCGAAGGCGGCUUGCUGGACAGUAACUGACGUUGAGGCUCGAAAGCGUGGGGAGCAAACAGGAUUAGAUACCCGAGUAGUC